Long non-coding RNA from Hippocampus comes (tiger tail seahorse), 1537 nucleotides. RefSeq lists it as uncharacterized. Lineage: Eukaryota; Metazoa; Chordata; Actinopteri; Syngnathiformes; Syngnathidae. The transcript has 4 exons. The record is from RefSeq and is a predicted model, not a curated record.
GCAUUCUUUUAGUUACGAGUUUCUCCCUCCCAAUUGGACUCGACGGCGUGUGCCGAUUUUCGGAUAUGUCGCCUUACAGCUCAAACGCCGUUCGUUGAUUUUUGAUCGAAAACGAUUUGGAGCAAACGUGUCGUUCGUUAUCUUGCUCGUUCCCGGCGGCUGGGAUCCGCUUCACGUCAGCGUGCUCCAACGGGCUAACUCCAAUACCAAGGUCAAGAGCGACGUCAAAAUGCAAGACGAAGAAGAUCCAGACGACAACGCUGAAAGGUUCCCCAACACACGUGGAGCUCUCUCCGCAGAUGACGCCUAAAUCUGCAGCAGCUAAAUAGCAAGAAUCCAAUGCAAGUGCGGCACGAUAGGACAUGAAAUCUUAGUUGAGUGUGAAAGAACCGGAGCAGAUGCUGAACAAGCCAGACCACUCGUCUUGCCUCAGUGUGGGGAUUUUUCCAUGGUGGCCCGAAACAUGACAGCCACAGCUGCCGGGAGCAGGAUGACGAGAAGACGACGGGCACGUCGUGGCGCACGGUCAGGACGCUAUCGUCGCUGCCUCAACGGGAGCCGGGGCAAAGCCCGCCGAUGAAGUCGUGCCUGGGAGCGAGCCAAUCACCUGAGCGAGACUCCCGAUGUGCUUGGCGAUGGGCUGCCUUCCGCCGCGGAUGCGGACGCAGGCCGCCCACAAGGCGACCCGCCCCCUGCUUCCAGCCAUUCGCCUCAGGGGCCCACACCACCGCAGUCAGUGCGUCACCAUUGCGCGCGGCAAAGUCGCAUCGAUGAUCCCCUCCGAUUGUGUUUUUCUGCGGCGAGCCAGGAUCGAACCUCCCCCUCGAGUGAGACACAAGGAGAGAGAAAGCGAGCAAGGAGUUGAAAGACUAAGCGUAGCCUGGACUUGACCGCAUGCAUGAAAGCGACCCCUUCGACUUCCAUUUUUCUGUCUAUGGCCCUCCGACAAAAAGGUUUGGACACCCCUGAGUUAAGGCAUCCUUUCACAAUGUAUUUUUGGGGGGGCUCCACAACCUAGUCUGUCUGUGUAUGUCCAUUUAUUGACUUGUCCAUCAAACGAGAACUAAUGAUGUUGAUCAUCAGCUAUUGGUUUUUUUUUUGCCCAUUUAAGCUUAGCAUUUUAGAAAAAUAGGAACAUUAGACCAACCUCAAAUGUAAUUGCAGACAUGAUGGAUUCCUACGUCUUACUCAACAGACGCUAUUUCCACGGCAUGCAAGUUGAUUCCUUGACAGACUGGAUCAUUUUGCUCUGUAAUUUGAAUUCUUCAAGUUGGAACGGUGGCAGAAAUUUUAGGGCAUAGCGAUUGUGCGACAGGGGCUCUGUCGCUGCACAAAAUGCUGGGUAAAUCUUUGGGCUGAGCAACGUUCGCAUCCUUGACAUUUCAAAGGCUCACCUAGCCCCUGACCUGCCUCACGCAGCCCACAAGCUUAGAAUGAGAACCCCUCGGAGAAGCUGAAGUGUAAUUAACCCGUUGGCAACAAACGACUACAUUUCUCUUCCAAGUACGGGAGUGAAGAAGUGAGAAUAAACAUUGAA